AAAAAAAAGAAAGAAGCGAUUUUACCUUGUAAACGAGACUAUGAACAGUUAGCUGCAUUGAUUACAGUAGGGCCAAGGUUAUUAGAGACAUGGGAACAUGUAAACCAUAGUUUGAACCAGUUGGAAAAUUAACUAAGGAAUAUUAAAUGAACGAUUGACGAAAACGAUUAUCGUCGAAUAAAAAACAAACGGUCGCCAGAAAUAUGAGAACGAUUCUAACUCGCAAAACUAAGGAUAAGCAGAGUUGUCACCAAAAGAUGAAUCUGUCUGAUUUGC
Molecule: unclassified non-coding RNA, 276 nt
Filed under: Bombus terrestris (buff-tailed bumblebee)
Lineage: Eukaryota; Metazoa; Arthropoda; Insecta; Hymenoptera; Apidae
Description: misc RNA ENSBTSG00005022416.1
Source: RNAcentral